UAGGGAAUCUUCCGCAAUGGGCGAAAGCUUGACGGAGCAACGCCGCGUGAGUGAUGAAGGUCUUCGGAUCGUAAAACUCUGUUAUUAGGGAAGAACAAAUGUGUAAGUAACUAUGCACGUCUUGACGGUACCUAAUCAGAAAGCCACGGCUAACUACGUGCCAGCAGCCGCGGUAAUACGUAGGUGGCAAGCGUUAUCCGGAAUUAUUGGGCGUAAAGCGCGCGUAGGCAGUUUUUUAAGUCUGAUGUGAAAGCCCACGGCUCAACCGUGGAGGGUCAUUGGAAACUGGAAAACUUGAGUGCAGAAGAGGAAAGUGGAAUUCCAUGUGUAGCGGUGAAAUGCGCAGAGAUAUGGAGGAACACCAGUGGCGAAGGCGACUUUCUGGUCUGUAACUGACGCUGAUGUGCGAAAGCGUGGGGAUCAAACAGG
Molecule: ribosomal RNA, 429 nt
Filed under: Actinomycetes bacterium
Lineage: Bacteria; Bacillati; Actinomycetota; Actinomycetes
Description: Actinobacteria bacterium partial 16S ribosomal RNA
Rfam family: Bacterial small subunit ribosomal RNA
Source: RNAcentral